This 690-nucleotide ribosomal RNA is filed under the name Triticum aestivum (bread wheat). RNAcentral describes it as "partial small subunit ribosomal RNA". Lineage: Eukaryota; Viridiplantae; Streptophyta; Magnoliopsida; Poales; Poaceae. The record is from RNAcentral.
UCCAGAAAGCCAGUUAAAGAGCAAUUAAUCAAGUCUUUUGCUCUUAAGAGGAUGGCAGAACUAUUCAGGAGGUGGAAGAAAGAGCUGAAUAAGUUUGUCGAAAAUAAAGAGACACCAGAAUUCAAGGGCAGAUAUGAGAAGAUCAGAGAUCACUGGCCCGCAUUUGUGGCCCACAAGACAUCGGAAAAGAGUAAGAAGAUGUCGGCGACAAACAAGCAAAAUGCUGCGAAGAAGAAGCAUCACCAUCGCACGGGGUCAGGUGGCUACCUCGUAGCCCGGCCUAAGUGGGCCAAGAUUGAGAAUGAUCUGGUUGAAAAAGGGAUCGAACCAGAGACAAUUAACUGGCCGGACCGUUGCCGGACUUGGUUCUUUGGGGCUGGCGGAACCUUGGACCCUGUAACAGGGAAGUGCAUUUGGACGAACGAUCAAAUGGACAUACCAGUCAGGAAGCUUCAGCAGUAUAUUGAAGCAGCGCAACAAGGGACGUUCUUUCCAGACAGAGAGAACGACGAGCUCACAAUGGCCCUCGGGAAUCCUGAGCACCCUGGACGGACACGAGGCAUGCCAGGCUCCAUUUCAUGGAAGGUUGGGUUUCCAGACACAGGCGGUUACAAAUCCCAGGAGAGGAGGAAAAAAUUGCAGCAGACCCAAAUGCAGGCGCUGCAAGCAAGGGUACAAGUGAUAGAGGAA